Molecule: long non-coding RNA, 622 nt
Organism: Suricata suricatta (meerkat)
Lineage: Eukaryota; Metazoa; Chordata; Mammalia; Carnivora; Herpestidae
Exons: 4
Source: RefSeq, a predicted model, not a curated record
GUGGGAUUGGCUCUACCAGGAAGGAGUGACCCUCUCUCCGUGAAUGAAUGACCCUCUGGAGGUCCGGGGAGAACCAGUGACCGGGGAGACUUGGAAAAUAGAGGGAAGUGGAGGAAACACCCACAGUUCCACUACUCGAACAUAAUUUUCCACGUUUGUUCAUUCCCUUUCAGACAAUACUGAAAGGAAUCAAGAAGAGUGAGAAUCACCAAUAACCAGGCAAGGGAAGGUCUUCAGACUUCCUUGGAUCACAGAACGCAACGAUAAUGGCACUGCCGUCCGGGUGUGUGCUUUAAGAGGCCUGCCUGGUGGCUCCCACGUUUAUGCUCUUCUUACCCUGCUGUCAUGUGAGGAGGGCAGGUGAGGCCCCCGUGAUGACAGACCACAAGGGGACAGGGCGUCCACAUCAAGGAGAAAUGGCAGCCGGAUCUGAAGCCUGGAGAGGAAGGAAGCCCUCCUGGGUGUUCUAGCCCCAGAUGACCCCCAGCUGAAUUCAGCCACAAGUCAACCCCAGCACAUCCCACAUGGAGCAGAAAAACUGCCCCACUGAGGCUCGCUGCCUCACAGACUGGGAGGGAGGUGGGGCGUUGUUUUUAAGCUAAUAAAUUUGAAGUGCUUUAUG